This 450-nucleotide ribosomal RNA is filed under the name uncultured bacterium. Its description in RNAcentral is "partial 16S ribosomal RNA". It matches the Rfam family "Bacterial small subunit ribosomal RNA", at positions 354 to 796 of the family's 1533-position model. The record is from RNAcentral.
GUGAGGAAUAUUGGGCAAUGGGCGAAAGCCUGACCCAGCCACGCCGCGUGAGUGAUGAAGGCCUUCGGGUUGUAAAGCUCUGUGGGGAGGGAAGAAAAAGCGGGAGAGUAACUGCUCUCGUGUUGACGGUACCUCCUUAGCAAGCACCGGCUAACUCUGUGCCAGCAGCCGCGGUAAUACAGAGGGUGCAAACGUUGCUCGGAAUUACUGGGCGUAAAGCGCGUGUAGGCUGACAUGCAAGUCGGGUGUGAAAUCCAAGGGCUCAACCUUGGAACUGCACUCGAAACUGCACGUCUUGAGUACUGGAGAGGGAAGCGGAAUUCCGGGUGUAGAGGUGAAAUUCGUAGAUAUCCGGAGGAACACCAGUGGCGAAGGCGGCUUCCUGGACAGUAACUGACGCUGAGACGCGAAAGCGUGGGGAGCAAACAGGAUUAGAAACCCGUGUAGUCC